AUAUUUUGUCUUCUAUAAAUAGAGGAGGAAAGCCAAGCCAAAUGCAUCACCACUCAGCCAAGCCAAGCAUAGUUAAUAGUUGCAAGUCUCUCUGUUUCUCUGUGGCUUUGAGAGAGUUGAGUGAAAAUGAAGGCAUCAUAUUCAUACAUUGCAAUUGCAUUGUACCUUGUGGUUGUGGUGCUGUUGGGCAAAGCAGAUGUUUCAAUGGCAGUAACAUGCAACCCAACAGAACUAAGUCCCUGUGCAGGAGCAAUAACUUCUUCAACUCCUCCAUCCACAAUAUGCUGCACCAAGAUCAAGCAACAGAAGCCCUGCCUCUGCCAGUAUCUCAACAACCCCAACCUCAAGAAGUUUGUCAACACCCCAAAUGCCAGGAAAGUUGCUAGGACUUGUGGCACUCCCUUCCCCAAGUGCUAGCUACAUACAUCCAUGGAUGAUGCAUGAUGUCUCACAAACACCUUCAGCAAUACAAUCCAAUACAAUCAAGGGGAGGAGGGACUUAUAUAUAUAUAUAUAUAUAUAUAUAUAUAUAUAUUAUAUAUAUGUGUGUGUGCGCGUGCGCACGUAUCUUUAUCUUGCUCAUUAAUUAGUUCCAUGAUUUGCCUAAUAGAGAUUAGAGAGAGUUAACUCAUAUGUGCUUAAUUUGGUGUGUUUUAUUUUAUGGCAUAUUAAUAUCCAUCUGUAUUCUAUAAGCUAUGUAUUUUAGUAAAAGGCACUACUUGUUGUUACAUGCCACAUGCCAGCAUUUUCAGUGUCUUCUCAGUCUCUUGGUUUGUUGUGUGGUGUAUCAACGUAUCAGUGUAUCAGUGUAUCAGUAGUAGUGGUGGUAAAGUGGUCUAUAUGAGAAUUUGAAUCGUGUCUAAAUGCCCCAACCCAAGCUUUAUUAAUCUUCUUUGUCU
Molecule: long non-coding RNA, 899 nt
Filed under: Prunus dulcis (almond)
Lineage: Eukaryota; Viridiplantae; Streptophyta; Magnoliopsida; Rosales; Rosaceae
Description: sRNA ncRNA
Source: RNAcentral